RNAcentral lists this microRNA (20 nucleotides) under Picea abies (Norway spruce). RNAcentral's name for it is "pab-miR319h". Its record names the gene pab-miR319d. The record is from miRBase by way of RNAcentral. Lineage: Eukaryota; Viridiplantae; Streptophyta; Pinopsida; Pinales; Pinaceae.
UUGGACUGAAGGGAGCGCCC